GCUGUGCUCUGUCCCCUCCUGGUGGCUGUGCCCAUGCCAUGCCAUGCCAUGCCGUGCCCAUGCCAUGCCUUGCCAUGCCAUGCCAUGCCAUGCCAUGCCAUGCCAUGCCAUGCCUUGCCAUGCUGUGCCUUGCCAUGCCCUGCCGUGCUGUUCCGUACCAUGCCACGCCAUGCUCUCUCCCCUCCCGGUGGCUGUGGCCAUGCCAUGCCAUGCCGUGCCAUGCUGUGCUGUUCCAUUCUGUGCCAUGCCGUGCCGUGCUCUGUCCCCUCCCGGUGGCUGUGGCCAUGCCAUUCCAUGCCAUGCCAUGCAAUGCUGUGCCAUGCCAUGCCAUGCCAUGCCAUGCCAUGCCCAUGCCAUGUCCUCCCAGGGGCAGGGAUCGCUGCCGGCACUUUGUCCUGGACCAGCAGCCUGACGGGCGCUACACGAUCCUGGGCGAGCGCAGCGCCCACGCCGAGCUGGCCCAGCUGCUGCAGCACCACAGCACGGCCCCGGUGAGCCCGUACCGAGAGUUCCUGAGCGUGGCCCUGCCCUGCACGCGGGUGAGUGCUGGAACUGAGAGCCCUGAGAGACCCUGGGAGAUCCUGAGAGAUCCUGAGAGACCCUGAAAGCUCCUGAGAGCUCCUGAGAUCCACUGAGAGAUCCUGAAAGCCCUGAGAGCUCUGAGAGCCCCUGAGAGCUCCUGAGAGAUUCUGAGAGAUCCUGAGAGCCACUGAGAGAUCCUCAGAGAUCCUGGGAGACCCUGAGACAUCCUGAGAGAUUCUGAGAGAUCCUGAGUGCCCCUGAGAGCCCCUGAGAGCCUCUGAGAGAUCCUGAGAGACCCUGAAAGCUCCUGAGAGCUCCUGAUAUAUCCUGAGAGCUCCUGAGAUCCACGGAGAGCCCCUGAGAGAUCCUGAGAGUCCCUGAGAGACCCGGAGAGGUCCUGAGAGAUCCUGAGAGCCCCUGCACAUUGAAAUAUUACCAAUCUAGCUGGACAGGACAUGCUUGAGCUUGUCUGGCCCUUGGUGCUGAACCAAAAAGUGGCAACUGUGGUGUUUCACC
RNAcentral lists this long non-coding RNA (1038 nucleotides) under Junco hyemalis (dark-eyed junco). Its description in RNAcentral is "lncRNA (ENSJHYG00000011605.1)". Lineage: Eukaryota; Metazoa; Chordata; Aves; Passeriformes; Passerellidae. The record is from RNAcentral.